RNAcentral lists this small nucleolar RNA (94 nucleotides) under Hordeum vulgare subsp. vulgare (domesticated barley). RNAcentral's name for it is "Small nucleolar RNA Z103". It matches the Rfam family "Small nucleolar RNA Z103". Rfam says of the family: This family consists of several snoRNA Z103 sequences which are members of the C/D class of snoRNA which contain the C (UGAUGA) and D (CUGA) box motifs. This family seems to be found exclusively in plants. Lineage: Eukaryota; Viridiplantae; Streptophyta; Magnoliopsida; Poales; Poaceae. The record is from Rfam by way of RNAcentral.
GAGGAUGUGAUGAUCCUUUCCCAGAUGAUGGACUAUGAACAUGCUGAGCGCCAUUGUUUCUCUUCAGAGAAACCAAGCCAGUAUUCUGAUCCUC